ACUGAAAGAGAACAACUGACUGUGCAGAUGGUGUCAGUGGCAAAAACACGGCUUCUUUGCCCAUGGUUUGUGCUUCCCUGAAGGAAGAUUACUGGCAAUAGAUUCCCACCCUAAUUCAGCAGGUGAAUUAAUGGAAUCUUGAAGAUGGAGAUUUUACUGGACUCCUUUAUGAUUGAUAAUGCACCAAAUGCCCUUCAGACCCAUUGAGGACGGGAGACUGAAUGGAAAAGAGUCUUCUGUUGAUUUGCCAAGUCUGACAGAAACAGUUUGCAGUGCACUUUGUUCUCCUGAAAUGAAAGGAAUGGGGUGAUAAAAUGUUGGACUAUCACUGCCAGGGCCUGCAGUACAGUAGACCUUUUGUUCCCAGAUGUAGAGAAACUUGUGGGGAAGGGUAUGAGCUCCCCUAUGCAUCCUGUACCAAAAGAGAACAUCUGAUACUCAACAUCUGAUCCUUAGAUGGUGUACACUUGCUGUAUACACUAGCAAAGCACCAAGAAUGUCUGAAGCCGGAGUGAAGAAGAAUUAGUGAACUCAAUUUUACACAUACCCAUUUGAAAC
Pogona vitticeps (central bearded dragon) is the source of this 558-nucleotide non-coding RNA. NCBI's taxonomy places the organism in Eukaryota, Metazoa, Chordata, Lepidosauria, Squamata, Agamidae. The record is from RefSeq and is a predicted model, not a curated record.